UACGUGGGGUGCGAGCGUUGUCCGGAAUUAUUGGGCGUAAAGAGCUCGUAGGCGGUGUGUCGCGUCGGCCGUGAAAACCUGGGGCUCAACUCUGGGCGUGCGGUCGAUACGGGCAUCACUUGAGUUCGGCAGGGGAGACUGGAAUUCCUGGUGUAGCGGUGAAAUGCGCAGAUAUCAGGAGGAACACCGGUGGCGAAGGCGGGUCUCUGGGCCGAUACUGACGCUGAGGAGCGAAAGCAUGGGUAGCGAACAGG
RNAcentral lists this ribosomal RNA (254 nucleotides) under uncultured bacterium. RNAcentral's name for it is "partial 16S ribosomal RNA". It matches the Rfam family "Bacterial small subunit ribosomal RNA", at positions 524 to 776 of the family's 1533-position model. The record is from RNAcentral.